This 492-nucleotide ribosomal RNA is filed under the name uncultured bacterium. RNAcentral's name for it is "partial 16S ribosomal RNA". It matches the Rfam family "Bacterial small subunit ribosomal RNA", at positions 29 to 507 of the family's 1533-position model. The record is from RNAcentral.
AGUGAACGCUGGCGGUAGGCCUAACACAUGCAAGUCGAACGGCAGCACAGUAAGAGCUUGCUCUUACGGGUGGCGAGUGGCGGACGGGUGAGGAAUACAUCGGAAUCUACUUUUUCGUGGGGGAUAACGUAGGGAAACUUACGCUAAUACCGCAUACGACCUACGGGUGAAAGCAGGGGAUCUUCGGACCUUGCGCGAUUGAAUGAGCCGAUGUCGGAUUAGCUAGUUGGCGGGGUAAAGGCCCACCAAGGCGACGAUCCGUAGCUGGUCUGAGAGGAUGAUCAGCCACACUGGAACUGAGACACGGUCCAGACUCCUACGGGAGGCAGCAGUGGGGAAUAUUGGACAAUGGGCGCAAGCCUGAUCCAGCCAUACCGCGUGGGUGAAGAAGGCCUUCGGGUUGUAAAGCCCUUUUGUUGGGAAAGAAAAGCAGCAGGUUAAUACCCCGCUGUCCUGACGGUACCCAAAGAGUAAGCACCGGCUAACUUCGUG